UAUGUUGGCUAAUAUACGCGACGUUGGGCCAACCUUGGCUUAACGUUGGUCUAUAUCGUCUCCAUCUUUACUGAUAAAUAGUGCAUGUAUAUAUUGGUUGGCUAUAUGACGUUGGGCCAACGUAGCAAAUACGACCUAGUACCGCUACAUCCGGGUAAAAAAAAUGCAUGCGUGCGCAUGCCCAUGUGCUCAUGCAAAUGCAACGUACGUCAGCCAUAUCCUGUCCAUUUGUCUGGAUCAGUUGCCGGGGAGUACCAACACUGCAUGAUUCCUCUACCCGUUCAGAUCCAGCUACCCCUACCUCGAUCAUCCAGAACAGCAUCAACAGCACCAAGGACCCCUCGACAUCGACCCCAUCAACCUCCAGAACACUGUCGACCCCAACGACCCCAUUGACCUCAACAUUCAGAAAUAUGGAUGUCGAAGUUGUACCACCACAAGCUAGACAAGAUUUUGAUUCCGACUAACCCGUUCUUUAAAGGUCAAUUGCCUUAGGAAAUUAAAACUUUUAUGUCUUGUAUCAAGACCCUUUUAAAGCAACAUAAUAACAAUUGUUUCAUAAAUAAAUGCCUCCUUAUAUUUUUUACAAUUUUUUGAAAACCUCUCCAAGUUGCUCGUCUAAUGGUGGACCCCGCCCCUUACAAUUCUCAGAGUUCCUCGGAAUGAUUGACCAAAGGAUUAGUGAUGUUAUAUCAAGAACGAUCUCCGCUUAGGCAAGCUACGGUGCUUGCUAGCCAGCUCUGCAGGCAUUAUGUUUUGUACACAAACAUAAACAAUAACUUUUGUUAUUAAAUAGUGUGCUAUGCAUGUUUACUUGUUAUUUAUUGUGGUGAAAUUUCACUAAUUGCCCAAUUUUAAAAAGAGAGCUAUACCAUGAGUCGAAGAAGGUCGUAAUUGAUUUGAAUGCCUGUAUAACGUGUCAACUAAAUGCAUGCUAUAAAGAAUUUCAAAGGUAAGAAAAAAUGUUUCAUAUAUCUAAGUGACUGAAUGUUUUUCGUACUACCUUCUUCUCAAUUUAAAGAAAUAUUGAAAGUGGUAUAUCAGAGUGAAGAAACUUGUGUUUUUCCCUUUACAAGCUCUGCUCUUUCUUACUUCACUUUAAAAUUUCCUCUCUUGUUAUAUAAACAUUUAGCGAUUGCUUUACUUCACACAUUCAAGCAAUGUAUACUAUCCCUCCUAAAA
Strongylocentrotus purpuratus (purple sea urchin) is the source of this 1182-nucleotide long non-coding RNA. RefSeq lists it as uncharacterized. The transcript is spliced from 3 exons. The record is from RefSeq and is a predicted model, not a curated record. NCBI's taxonomy places the organism in Eukaryota, Metazoa, Echinodermata, Echinoidea, Camarodonta, Strongylocentrotidae.